RNAcentral lists this ribosomal RNA (253 nucleotides) under uncultured bacterium. Its description in RNAcentral is "partial 16S ribosomal RNA". It matches the Rfam family "Bacterial small subunit ribosomal RNA", at positions 524 to 776 of the family's 1533-position model. The record is from RNAcentral.
UACGUAGGCAGCGAGCGUUGUUCGGAGUUACUGGGCGUAAAGAGUGCGUAGGCGGUUUGCCAAGUCUGGUGUGAAAUCUCCCGGCUUAACCGGGAGGGUGCGCCGGAAACUGGCAGGCUGGAGUGUGGGAGAGGCAGGCGGAAUUCCCGGAGUAGCGGUGAAAUGCGUAGAUAUCGGGAGGAACACCCGCGGUGUAGACGGCCUGCUGGACCAUGACUGACGCUGAGGCACGAAAGCGUGGGGAGCAAACAGG